UCUCUAUCUAUGGUUCUCUCUAGAAUCUUCCCCCUCCCAUUCAGCUCCGAUGAGUUUUACUCACCUUCUCCGGUCACCUCCUUGCUAGGAUCUAUGGUGGUUUCACCACCCACCGGCCCUCUAAGGUUCCUACACACUUUUUUAUCGAGGUUUCAUGGUAUGAAUACAAAGAAGCUUCAUCCAGACCUGGUUCAAUUCAAGUUUUAUGGCCAUCUUCGGCCUUUCUCCGGCAAGCCAUGCAUGUUUCGAGCUUGGCCUCGACUUCUCUUGGUUAGAUCAUCGAUCCAAGUCUUUCUCACCGUUUGGGUUCCUCUGAAACCCUAGAUUUUUUAGUUCUUCUAAUUUCUUAAGAUCUGUUCUAGAUCCGGG
This 369-nucleotide long non-coding RNA is filed under the name Nicotiana benthamiana. RNAcentral's name for it is "long non-coding RNA (NBEN_LNC040144)". Lineage: Eukaryota; Viridiplantae; Streptophyta; Magnoliopsida; Solanales; Solanaceae. The record is from RNAcentral.